CAUCCUCUUGCCUCCUAUUUGGACCACUCUAAGACGCAGACCUAAUAUCCAUUAUUCGCAUGUACGAUCAUUCUCCAUUUUUUUUUUUUGAUAAAUAUUCUUUAAUUUUUUUGCUUAAAGAACGCUAUCCAUUACUUUUUAGUCCUUAUUGGGAUAGAUCCUUAUCGUUUAGUCGACUAUCCCUCAUCCUCUUCUUCCUACCGAUCAAGUACACGACGACUAUCUCUUUUCUUCAUCUCCACACCGACUAAGUGUAUUAUGCUACGGAUCGAGCUGACUUAUAUGAUGAAAUAUGAUCUAGUCGGUAUUUGACCAAUUUGGUUCGACAGACAAUCAAUGUCUAACUUGCGAUGUUUGAUAUGUAGUCGACACCUGACUGACGACUUCCUCGGUGUUCUACUGACUAUCUUAAUUCCAUAAAUUUGAGGAUUAAAUGAUAGUUAUCCAACAUGAGCAUUAACUACACGCGAUCCUAGGAUGCAAUAGUCGCCCACGAACUAUCCAUUAUUCGACCUU
RNAcentral lists this long non-coding RNA (516 nucleotides) under Elaeis guineensis (African oil palm). RNAcentral's name for it is "long non-coding RNA (EGUI_LNC005644)". The record is from RNAcentral. Lineage: Eukaryota; Viridiplantae; Streptophyta; Magnoliopsida; Arecales; Arecaceae.